AACGAACGCUGGCGGCAUGCCUAACACAUGCAAGUCGAACGAGACCUUCGGGUCUAGUGGCGCACGGGUGCGUAACGCGUGGGAACCUGCCCUUAGGUUCGGAAUAACUCCCCGAAAGGGGUGCUAAUGCCGGAUAAUGUCUUCGGACCAAAGAUUUAUCGCCUUUGGAUGGGCCCGCGUUGGAUUAGCUAGUUGGUAGGGUAAAAGCCUACCAAGGCGACGAUCCAUAGCUGGUCUGAGAGGAUGAUCAGCCACACUGGGACUGAGACACGGCCCAGACUCCUACGGGAGGCAGCAGUGGGGAAUAUUGGACAAUGGGCGAAAGCCUGAUCCAGCAAUACCGCGUGAGUGAUGAAGGCCUUAGGGUUGUAAAGCUCUUUUACCCGGGAUGAUAAUGACAGUACCGGGAGAAUAAGCUCCGGCUAACUCCGUG
RNAcentral lists this ribosomal RNA (433 nucleotides) under uncultured bacterium. RNAcentral's name for it is "partial 16S ribosomal RNA". It matches the Rfam family "Bacterial small subunit ribosomal RNA", at positions 29 to 507 of the family's 1533-position model. The record is from RNAcentral.